CAAGGCGUCAGCAGAUGCAGUGUCUGGUGAGGGACCCGCUUCUUUGUUCAUAGACGGCUGUCUUCUCACUGUGUCCUCACAGGGCAGAAGGGACAAGGCACCUCUGUGGGGUCUUUCUGCGCCCCACGACUUAUGGGAUCUCAGUUCCCCUACCAGGGAUUGAACCCUGGCCAUGGCAGUGAAAGCCCGGAAUCCUAACCACUAGGCCACCAGGGAACUCCCCUGAUGACCUUUCUUUGACCUUGACCUUCUUGGGGCUUACCAGCUCCUGGAAACCUGUAAUCUUCAUUUUGUCUCCAUAGAUUUGCCUAUUCUAGACAUUGUAUAUAAAUGGAAUCAUACAGUAUGUGGUCU
Molecule: long non-coding RNA, 354 nt
Organism: Lagenorhynchus albirostris (white-beaked dolphin)
Lineage: Eukaryota; Metazoa; Chordata; Mammalia; Artiodactyla; Delphinidae
Exons: 3
Source: RefSeq, a predicted model, not a curated record